AUUGCAGCUACCUCCUUGCACACUUAGAUCACACAUGUGGGGAAGCAGCUGCCAUGC
RNAcentral lists this microRNA precursor (57 nucleotides) under Macaca mulatta (Rhesus monkey). RNAcentral's name for it is "Mml-Novel-14_pre stem-loop". The record is from RNAcentral. Lineage: Eukaryota; Metazoa; Chordata; Mammalia; Primates; Cercopithecidae.